This 460-nucleotide ribosomal RNA is filed under the name uncultured bacterium. RNAcentral describes it as "partial 16S ribosomal RNA". It matches the Rfam family "Bacterial small subunit ribosomal RNA", at positions 338 to 795 of the family's 1533-position model. The record is from RNAcentral.
CCUACGGGGGGCAGCAGUGAGGAAUAUUGGUCAAUGGGCGCGAGCCUGAACCAGCCAAGUAGCGUGAAGGAUGACUGUCCUACGGGUUGUAAACUUCUUUUAUCAAGGAAUAAAGUGAGGCACGUGUGCCUUUUUGUAUGUACCUUAUGAAUAAGGAUCGGCUAACUCCGUGCCAGCAGCCGCGGUAAUACGGAGGAUCCGAGCGUUAUCCGGAUUUAUUGGGUUUAAAGGGAGCGUCGAUGGGUUGUUAAGUCAGUUGUGAAAGUUUGCGGCUCAACCGUAAAAUUGCAAUUGAUACUGGCAGCCUCGAGUACGGUAGAGGUAGGCGGAAUUCGUGGUGUAGCGGUGAAAUGCUUAGAUAUCGCGAAGAACUCCGAUUGCGAAGGCAGCUUACUAACCUGACACUGACAUUGAUGCUCGAAAGUGUGGGUAUCAAACAGGAUUAGAUACCCGGGUAGUC